AACACCCUCGAGCUUGCUUGGGAUUUGUAAAACUGCAAAUAUACAUUGGCAUACUAUUGAUUCUAGGCAAGAUUACAUCUAAUCCCGGCAUAUUACAAUAAUUGAACCAGAUAAAAUCAAAUCAAACCUAAUGAAUGUAAAUCAUGUAAUAAUCUCAAUAGUAAAAUAGCCAAAACUCAAUACAUGGUGAAUAUUGUAAAAUAACCACUGGAGGGAAAACAACAAGUAAAUUGAACCCAACAUUUGUUUCUCUGCAUUCCUAGGUCUAAAUGUUAUACAUCCUACUCCAGCAUAUGUUAAUGUUACUCAGCUGUUAUCGCAUGUUUCCCUCCCGCAGCACAUCGAUCAUGUCGUAUAUUCGCUUCUCUUCUUUCAAUUUCACCUAUAUUCAGAAAACAUCUACUGUUAUUCUUUGGUGNNNNNNNNNNNNNNNNNNNNNNNNNAAUGCAGAGUAAAAAGCUAGAACACAUCACAAAAAUAUUUGAAACUUCUAUUUCUAACUGAAUUUGUUCCUUGAGAUGCAUGGUGAAAGCUCUGCAAAGAGAAGCUCCAAUAACAAAUUUAGACAUUUUUUGUUCAGAUUACCUUCUUAGCAAGGAAAAGUAUAGCAUCAACUGUUCCCUCUGCAUAGAUUGAUCUACCACAAACAUUGUGUUGAAAUUCAAAAGAAACCCUGAAAAAGGAGAUACAAAGUUAAACCUUAUAAAAAAAAAAAGGGAGAUACCAAGUUAAAGUUGUUCAAUUUAUAAACAUUGGCAACAAAAAUAAGAUAGGGGAAAGCAAAGGAUAGACAGUAUUACGUUCCGUCUGGUGAGGUCAGAUGGUACAUGUGGAAAGCAUGACCUAACAAGUGUUCUUCUGGGACACCAACCAUCUCAACUUGUUGCUUGGGAUCUCGUAUUAGUUGUACCUGACAGAAUAUUCAUGAGGAUAAUUAAAUAUUCUGUUAGGGAUCUGAGAAUCGGUAUUCUACCUUGUAAAAUGCAAGUUAUAUAGAAAAAUCACUUUCAACGCUUGAGAGCAAAUUGAAUUUCUCUAUAUGCUCCAACUCCAAUUUAAUUUAAUCUUUCUUCAUUCAUUUCAUUCGCUUUUCCUCCAAAACUCGGAGAAGGCUGAAAAUAUUAGACCUUGUAUCUUUCGUUUCAUUCUCCUUCCCUUCCAAACUUGAAGCACAGUUUGAAAAUAUUUGGUAACUUGACAGUCUGUAGAAAAACCAUCCCAGACAAGCUUAAUAGAACUGUAAUCCUGUACAGGAAAUAGAAUUUACUCGAGACUUUUUGCUGUUAUUGAAAUUGUACAAUGGAUUUAAGAGAACGUGGUGAGUUCUGCUAGAUGAAUGUCCAAGAAAGAAAGAGAAACAUAUAUCUGCAAGUUAACUACAGGAAUGUGUGUCCCAGGAAAAGGGUUGCGGAAGGGGUCGGAAACCCCAUAGCAAAAUGGCACUAUGGGAAGAUAUACGAACCAGAUGGAAUAAGAUAUGAUAUAGGAGCAAGUAGCAUGACAAUAAAGUGCCAGGGAUGAUAAUAUAUUGAUAGCUUCGGAAGAAAAAAUAGUGGAUGUUAUCUGUACUCUAUGUCUGUCAGAUCUCGUCACCAUUUCAGAAAUUUGAUUCAAUAUAAAGAAAAGUUUUAACGCAAAAAGCGCCAUUUUGAAGCCAUACACAGGAGAGGAGGGAGGUGAUACAUUCAUAUUGUACGAGUCUGAUAGCUUUAUCAUCAGAUCCUCUCAUGAAGCCCAUUUCAGUUAUCUAAAACAUGGUUAAGUUAAAACACAACAAAUUUGUUUGUGGCAGUUAUUUCCACUCAACUUGGCUCCACAACCUAGGCCUGAAACUCUCCAUCAAUGACCCUGAAUUCAGAUGCUUCACUUUACGAGCUAUGAAGCAUAAGAACUCCCACGGAGCAAUAAAGUCAAUCUUUUUCUCUAUGCUAUCAGAUUCUUUCCCGUUCAACUUAUUUAAGCAGGACGGUAAAGUUGGCUCCACAACCUAGGCCUGAAACUCUUCAUCAAUGACCCUGAAUUCAGAUGCUUCACUUUACGAGCUAUGAAGCAUAAGAACUCCCACGGAGCAGUAAAAUCAAUCUUUUUCUCUAUGCUAUCAGAUUCUUUCCCGUUCAACUUAUUUAAGCAGGACGGUAUAGUUGGUGGUAUUAGAAAUGGAAUGCAAUGGACUAUGUCAUGCAGUGUCAGGGAAGCCUUUGUGUGUUGGAGCAACUGGAAAGUUGACAAGUCCAUCAAGAAAAUCUGGUCUAUGGUUCCUGCUACUAUUUUGCUGGGCUAAUGGACAAAAAGGAAUCAAAAAUGCUUUGAUGGCGUUACAACUGCCAGAUGCAAACUUAAGGCUAGAUGUUUAGUUUUCCUCUUUUGUUGGGUCAAUCAUACCCGUGUAUAGCCAUGACCUCUUUUUGGAAUUUAUCAGCUCUAUAGUCCUUUAAUAGGUUUCUUUUUUGUCUUCCUUAGGAGCUGAUAUCUUCCUCUUUUGUAAUUUAUGCAUCUUCUGGAUGCUUCUGUUAUUAAUAUACAGGCACUCACAUCAUCAAAAAAAGUUGGUGGUAUUAGAAAAUAGUCAAAUUGUGUAAAGAUGAACGUGUUCGUAAAAGUAUAGAAGACCACGAGCACUAUUUUAUGAAAGGAUAAAGUCAAGACGAAAUAAAAUGGAAGAAGGAAUGGAAAUUUGAGAGAAAAGGGUAUGGAAGAACCACAAUAGGACAAAUGUUCUGUCAUUAUUGAAUAAAAAAAAGUUGUAGACGUACCUCAUCCAAAUCAAAAGAAACGCCUAAUUUCUGAAAGCAAGAGAUAACAGCCUUUGCAGUUCCAGAGGUGUCCAAUUUACUUGCUUGAUGAGACUCCAUCACCUUAUAAUUUGAUAAAGAGGCUCAAAAUUCACACUUCAAUCACAGGAUACUAUAAAUCAAACUCAAUUUUCUGUUAACACAUUGAGAUGAAUAAGACUGCAAAAGGAUCAGCAAAAUAGAGAAUAAUAAAGGGCAAGCAAAGAAGAAAACAAAUGCACCACAAAUACACCGAUAAUUAGCCAAGGCAACAAGCAUGCACAUCACAUAUAUGAUCGGAUUCCCAGAUUUGCCUCAAUUAGAUAUAGAUAUCUUAGGUUAAACAGCACAAUCGAAAAGAGUAACUCCAAUAAUUCUUCGGACCAGUUCCUUCAUAUUUCAGUAAGAAAAGCAUGAGGUAUGUCCACUGUAUGUCAAAUCAGAAGAAGAAAAUAAUAAAAGAACCGAACCAAAGAAAGACAGUCUUUAAAUCGCUCUGCCUAAUCCUGGAGCAUGCAAAUAGUCACCUAAAAUGCAGGCAUGAUACCUGGUGGGUACUAAAUGAUUUAAUAGGAGUUUGGACAAUAUUUGGUUGAAGUUGAAAAAGAGUAUUUUAAUGUUCAGAUAUUUGCAAGGCAUUUCAGACCCCUUAAUGUUCCUGCCUAUUUCUCUCCAUUCAUGAACUCUUAAGAGGCAAACCAAAACCCCAGUUGUAAAAGGAACAGCUGCUAAACUCCUCAAUGAGUGAGGAACAGCCAUUGUAAUCACGCAGCAAGAUGAGAUAACAUCCAGCGGCCUAGUGGCCCAAUCACACACGAAUCGAACAACUGGUGGUUUCAAUUGGCCCUUUAGAUAUCCAGCCACAACAUGGACACGAAAUGCCAAAUACAGCAAUUCGUGUAUACCCGUCACCACUGAGCUAUAUAUCUUCAGUAUUAAAAGCUUCAUGUACACAAUCUCAAGCAAUUACUAUUUUUGAGGUCGUUAACUCUAAAUACAUCCAUAGAAUAUGUACCACGAAGAUGGAUAUUAGUGAAAGAUGUAAAAAUGGUAACCAGUUAUUUAGCGCUUAAUUACUAGUCAAAUUCUGCUGUCUGCCGUAAAAUUGAUUCCCAGUAGCUCUUAACAUUUUCUAUAGCAACAUUAAAUUCAAAAGCCAUUUGGGUUUAAUAUAUGCAAAUCUCCGAAGGAAAAGAAUUUAUGUUAACCUCAUAUACAUGUAUUGUCAACGAGAUCAGAAACCGAAAAUACCAAUGCAAGUAAUGCAACUAGGCACCUUCAUGGUAAAAGAAUGAAAGCAUACAAAAUAUAGUCAGCAUUUCAAUUUAAUCUGAAAUUGUUUAGUUAUCAAGGUCUCAAUAAGAAACACUUUGGCUGAAUAUACAAGAGCUUGUAAACCAAUGGUCAACUCGCACGACGAAGAAGACAAACCUGUAGAGUGUACCCAGAGAAAGCUCCAGGGAAUUGUUCGGACAUGAUUUCCAUGGCUGCGAGAAAAGCUACCACCUAAAACAGAGGCAAGGUAUACCCCCUGUUAAACUAAAGUCUGGCAUACUAUU
RNAcentral lists this long non-coding RNA (4330 nucleotides) under Nicotiana tabacum (common tobacco). RNAcentral describes it as "long non-coding RNA (NTAB_LNC009973)". The record is from RNAcentral. Lineage: Eukaryota; Viridiplantae; Streptophyta; Magnoliopsida; Solanales; Solanaceae.